This 1149-nucleotide unclassified non-coding RNA is filed under the name Hevea brasiliensis (rubber tree). The record is from RNAcentral. Lineage: Eukaryota; Viridiplantae; Streptophyta; Magnoliopsida; Malpighiales; Euphorbiaceae.
GGGUUAUCCAACUUCAGAUUUCGCAAUCUUAAAUGACUCAGAGCUAAAACUCAAUUUGAAAAUAUUGAUAAAUUCAUGCUAUACUUGUAUCAUUUGUCAGCAAAACUAGAAAAGAUUAUUGUCCUGUUUGGUAUUACUAUUGAAACUGCCGCUGAGAAUAUCACUUUUUUAAAUAUCUCAGUUUUAAUCAUAAGAAUAUUAAAAUAACAAAACAGCUUUUUUCAAGCUGCUUUUUUUAACCGCAUCUAAAUAGUACGUUUAUUCACAAAAGCAAUUUGGGCUCUCCAAACUCAAUGCCAAUCAAGCACUUAGUAUAUUCACAAAAAUGAUAGCAAUAUUUUAUUUGAUUUAAGUGAAGACACCAAGAAGUGUAUAAUUUUGAAAUGCAUAUUGAUGUUUAAAACUCACAUUCAAGUUCCCAAAAAACUGAGCCAAAUUUGUGGUCUAUCUGUGUCAAAUUUCCACUCUAUAAAAUCACUUCACAAUCAUAAAAAGCCCAAGGAACAGAAGAAACUUCUGUGAAAUUGACCAAUUAAUGGAAUCCAUUAUCCAUGAUAAAUAAAAUAAAAAAAAAAUCAGGGAAAAGAAAAGUAUUUAGAAACACACUAAAUUUAAAUUAAACUUGUAGAAACAUAUUAUAGACACCUUUGGCAUUUCUUGUCAAUCACAACGUUUCCUUACCAACAUAGAUAAUAGUUACAACAUAAUGACAUAUGCAUCUGAUACAGUUUAGAUGGGUAAGACCAUACAACAGAUAAUAGAAGAAUCAACAUUUAGAAACCAUAAUACAACCAAAAUGCAAAUGCUUGCCACAAAUGUCAUUAACUUUUGUCUGCUGCAUUGCCAGGUCAAUUUAACUCUUAAACCCACCAUGUCCAUAGAGCAAUAAUAUAAACUCAAACCAUAUUACAACAGAAAGAACACUGGGAAAUUAAUCAAUCAUCCAAAUGCUUGGAGCAAGUAAUUUGAAUCAAGGGGGGAGAGAGAUAGCAAUAUCAUACAUUGGUCAAAGAAACAGCAAAUUCACACCAGUCAAUCAACACAUGUUACAAAGUGACAAUGGAAAUAGGCACAUUAACAAACAAGAAGAAUACGACGAAGUAAGAAUAAAGACAACAUGGCUCACCUUAGCCUUGGACAGGGUCUUGA